RNAcentral lists this transfer RNA (77 nucleotides) under Bacteroidota bacterium. RNAcentral's name for it is "Bacteroidetes bacterium tRNA-His". It matches the Rfam family "tRNA". Rfam says of the family: Transfer RNA (tRNA) molecules are approximately 80 nucleotides in length. Their secondary structure includes four short double-helical elements and three loops (D, anti-codon, and T loops). Lineage: Bacteria; Pseudomonadati; Bacteroidota. The record is from RNAcentral.
CCCGUUGUAGCUCAGCUGGUUAGAGCGCCUGACUGUGGAUCAGGAGGUCAGCAGUUCGAGUCUGCUCAACGGGACAA